This 233-nucleotide ribosomal RNA is filed under the name uncultured Candidatus Saccharibacteria bacterium. Its description in RNAcentral is "partial 16S ribosomal RNA". It matches the Rfam family "Bacterial small subunit ribosomal RNA", at positions 584 to 818 of the family's 1533-position model. The record is from RNAcentral. Lineage: Bacteria; Candidatus Saccharimonadota.
UAAGUUGGUGGUGAAUAGUGCGGCUCAACCGCAUACACAUUAUCAAACUGUCAAGCUAGAGCGCGAGAGAGGUUAUUGGAAUUUCUAGUGUAGGAGUGAAAUCCGUAGAUAUUAGAAGGAACACCGAUGGCGUAGGCAGAUAACUGGCUCGCUGCUGACACUCAGACACGAAAGCGUGGGUAGCAAGCGGGAUUAGAUACCCCGGUAGUCCACGCCCUAAACGAUGGAUGCUA